Molecule: ribosomal RNA, 206 nt
Filed under: uncultured bacterium
Lineage: Bacteria
Description: partial 16S ribosomal RNA
Rfam family: Bacterial small subunit ribosomal RNA
Source: RNAcentral
CGCGUAGGCGGCCUGGUAAGUCUGGAGUGAAAGUCCUCCUUUCAAGGGGGAAUUGCUUUGGAUACUGCUGGGCUUGAGUGCAGGAGAGGUAAGUGGAAUUCCCAGUGUAGCGGUGAAAUGCGUAGAGAUUGGGAGGAACACCAGUGGCGAAGGCGACUUACUGGACUGUAACUGACGCUGAGGCGCGAAAGUGUGGGGAGCAAACA